RNAcentral lists this long non-coding RNA (211 nucleotides) under Theobroma cacao (cacao). RNAcentral's name for it is "long non-coding RNA (TCAC_LNC000417)". The record is from RNAcentral. Lineage: Eukaryota; Viridiplantae; Streptophyta; Magnoliopsida; Malvales; Malvaceae.
UAUCUGUCUCCAUUUACUCAGCUUUAGAUAUUUUAGAUGGUAUUUGUUUACUCACUGGGAUUAUAUAAUCUCACCACCCUCAUUUCCACCCAUUUCAGGCUCAGGAUAGUUUGUAGAUAGCUGAUAUCGUCAAAGGCUACAGUUGGCUUUACUUCCUCAAAAACUGUAGGUUCACAGCCUUCAUCACUUUUAGUCAUUUGAGGGCCCACGU